This 198-nucleotide ribosomal RNA is filed under the name Cladophialophora sp. Its description in RNAcentral is "partial large subunit ribosomal RNA". It matches the Rfam family "Eukaryotic large subunit ribosomal RNA", at positions 82 to 279 of the family's 3401-position model. The record is from RNAcentral. Lineage: Eukaryota; Fungi; Ascomycota; Eurotiomycetes; Chaetothyriales; Herpotrichiellaceae.
AGUAACGGCGAGUGAAGCGGCAACAGCUCAAAUUUGAAAUCUGGCUUCUCGGAGCCCGAGUUGUAAUUUGUAGAGGAUGUUUCGGGUACCGCUGCGGCUUAAUUUUCUUGGAACAGAAUGUCAGAGAGGGUGAGAGUCCCGUCUGGAGCCGCGGUAGGGCCUAUGUGAAACUCCUUCGACGAGUCGAGUUGUUUGGGA